This 511-nucleotide ribosomal RNA is filed under the name uncultured bacterium. RNAcentral describes it as "partial 16S ribosomal RNA". The record is from RNAcentral.
GGAGUUAGCCGGUGCUUCUUCUGCGAGUAACGUCACAGAUGUAAGGUAUUAACUUACACCCUUUCCUCCUCGCUGAAAGUGCUUUACAACCCGAAGGCCUUCUUCACACACGCGGCAUGGCUGCAUCAGGGUUUCCCCCAUUGUGCAAUAUUCCCCACUGCUGCCUCCCGUAGGAGUCUGGGCCGUGUCUCAGUCCCAGUGUGGCUGAUCAUCCUCUCAGACCAGCUAGGGAUCGUCGCCUAGGUGAGCCUUUACCUCACCUACUAGCUAAUCCCACCUGGGCUUAUCCAUCAGCGCAAGGCCCGAAGGUCCCCUGCUUUCCCCCGUAGGGCGUAUGCGGUAUUAGCAGUCGUUUCCAACUGUUAUCCCCCACAAAUGGGCAAAUUCCCAGGCAUUACUCACCCGUCCGCCGCUCGUCAUCUUCAAAAGCAAGCUUUUGAAAUGUUACCGCUCGACUUGCAUGUGUUAGGCCUGCCGCCAGCGUUCAAUCUGAGCCAGGAUCAAACUCUGA